RNAcentral lists this long non-coding RNA (2008 nucleotides) under Diabrotica virgifera virgifera (western corn rootworm). RNAcentral's name for it is "uncharacterized LOC126880203". Lineage: Eukaryota; Metazoa; Arthropoda; Insecta; Coleoptera; Chrysomelidae. The record is from RNAcentral.
UGGUUUAUUUAUGUAUGUUUAUUCCAAACAUAACCUUAUAAACAAACAGUUGUUUAUUUAGAGUUAUUUAUUAUUGUUUUCUCAUAUUUUGCAAUUGUUAAGUUGGUUUACUUCGAAUUUAAUGUGCAUUACUGUGGUAUUUCUCCAGUUUUCUAAGAAGGUUGGUGAUUUUGAAUUGGGAUUAUGAUGAAUUUAACCCAAAGGCAAUGUGUGUGUUUAUUUAUGUGGCAAAAUUCCAGGCACCAUAAAAAUUUGAGUUUCUUCCUGUUGCCCAUGGCACAGCCCCAUGGAUGAAAAUCGGUUUGCAGAAUGAAAAGAAAUUGUUCAAUGUGAUAAACUUUCUAUGAAUAACAGUCCUCAGUGUUGUUACAUUAACUUUUAAAUAUGCAUCUUGAGGAGCAGGCCUUUGCAGAAAUACUGAAAAGCGGGUUGCAAAACAACGCAAAAUAAAAUAAACGAAAUAUGUCUUGGAAUGAUAAUUUUGUAAUUCUGUAGGCACAUCUAUUGAGAAGUUACAACCAGUGGCAAAGUGCCUUAAGGGAAUCUAUGACAUAUAUAAUUGAAGGUAUCAGCAUUGGCUCUACAGCCCAUGGUGGGUCUUGGCCUGUUCCAGAAUCAGCUUCCACUCUUUCCUAUCCUUUGCUUGGCUUUCCAAUUUCUCACUCGAGCAUGAAUUUUUGGUAUAUAUGGGAUUAUAUUGUGAUAACGACCAGAUCUAUGAAAGAAUAGUAUGUUGUUAAAGAAGAUUGUGGUGACACUAUUCAUGAAUAUCUGAUAAUAUUGGUUAAUGUGAAUGGAGUCCAAAAUGGGGUUUAGGCUGUUAUAUAAAAAACUAGGUCAUUAGCAUAUGGAAGUAGGGCGACAUUAUCUGGUAUUAAAUUAUGUGAAUGAGGAGAAUUAAACCUAAAAACUCUAUUUAUUCUGCUAAUCAAUAUGAAUUUAAUAUAUUUUAAUAUAAAACAUAUGUUAUUCUUUCUAGGGACACCUCCUCUGAAGGAAUUACAAUUAUUUGCCAGUAUGUCAAAUGAAUUUUCAACAUCAGUCAUACUUUCAUGAAUUUAUUGAUGAAAAUAAAACUAGGUACAUGAUUUAUUAUUUACUUCUAAGGGAUUCUAAGAUACUAUGUGUAAAAAGUCCAAUAUGCAGUGAUGAGCAUGCUAAUAACUGGCAAAAUAUGGGAUAUAACGCCAAAGAUGGGAAACAUGGGAUGCAUUCUGAAGUAAAAAGAGAUGAAACUGAGAGAAAUUAUUGAUAUAAACAUAUAAAUUAACAUUGCAUUACAUAGUUUCCCACCUUUAGACGUAUCAGAUGAGUAUGAGAACUGUCACUGUGCCAGGAGAAUUUUAUAAAAUACUCCUGUCACAGAGAUCUAAAGGUGGGAAACUAUGUAAUGUUAUCGUCGGCUAAGAGUGUUAACCUGCUAACUCUAUUUUUCACUGUGAGUGAUAUUGGGGUAGUUUCUAGGUCUGUGUACCUUCAUACCAUGUCCCACAAGCCCGCUGGUUCCACUGUAGUUUAGAGAUAGCUAUUUCUAAACUACAUUGGUGUCGGCGGGUUUGUGUGGUGGUGUAUGAAAAUACACGGACCCAGAAACUAGCCCAAUAUCACUCAAAGUGAAAAAUGGAGAUUAAAACUCUUAUCCAAGGUUAUGUUAAUUUAUUCGUUUAUAACGAUAAGUUCCACUUCUACCAGUUUCAUCUCUUUUUAUCUCACAAGUUAAUAUGUUUUCCAUCUUUUGCGUUAUUUUGCCGGUUAUUAGUGUGAGUGCUCAUUACUGUAUAUUUACGAUUCUGUGAUUUCUCAAUAUGAUGCUGAGUAGGUAUAGAUCUGAGUAGGUAUAUAGUAGGUAUCUACAACCCUUUCAAAACAGAAAUUUAUAAGUUCAUUUUAUGUACCUAUUAAACUUUAUUUUAAGGAUGAAUUUGAAAUGCUUGUAGGGAAUAUAUCUGUAAAAAAUAAAAUUGGUAUUGUAAAAUUGAAAUUCUCAAAAUAUAAUUUAUAAUUCGAA